This 200-nucleotide ribosomal RNA is filed under the name uncultured bacterium. RNAcentral describes it as "partial 16S ribosomal RNA". It matches the Rfam family "Bacterial small subunit ribosomal RNA", at positions 8 to 218 of the family's 1533-position model. The record is from RNAcentral.
AGAGUUUGAUCCUGGCUCAGGACGAACGCUGGCGGCGUGCUUAACACAUGCAAGUCGAACGAGGCUCUUCGGGGUCUAGUGGCGAACGGGUGAGUAACACGUGAGCAACCUGCCCCUGGCUCUGGGAUAGCCUCCGGAAACGGGGAUUAAUACCGGACAUGACUUCCUGCUGCAUGGCGGGGGGUGGAAAGUUUUUUCGG